Molecule: ribosomal RNA, 492 nt
Filed under: uncultured bacterium
Lineage: Bacteria
Description: partial 16S ribosomal RNA
Rfam family: Bacterial small subunit ribosomal RNA
Source: RNAcentral
AGUGAACGCUGGCGGUAGGCCUAACACAUGCAAGUCGAACGGCAGCUCAGUAAGAGCUUGCUCUUACGGGUGGCGAGUGGCGGACGGGUGAGGAAUACAUCGGAAUCUACUUUUUCGUGGGGGAUAACGUAGGGAAACUUACGCUAAUACCGCAUACGACCUACGGGUGAAAGCAGGGGAUCUUCGGACCUUGCGCGAUUGAAUGAGCCGAUGUCGGAUUAGCUAGUUGGCGGGGUAAAGGCCCACCAAGGCGACGAUCCGUAGCUGGUCUGAGAGGAUGAUCAGCCACACCGGAACUGGGACACGGUCCAGACUCCUACGGGAGGCAGCAGUGGGGAAUAUUGGACAAUGGGCGCAAGCCUGAUCCAGCCAUACCGCGUGGGUGAAGAAGGCCUUCGGGUUGUAAAGCCCUUUUGUUGGGAAAGAAAAGCAGCAGGUUAAUACCCCGCUGUUCUGACGGUACCCAAAGAAUAAGCACCGGCUAACUUCGUG